RNAcentral lists this ribosomal RNA (791 nucleotides) under marine metagenome. RNAcentral describes it as "bacterial SSU rRNA". It matches the Rfam family "Bacterial small subunit ribosomal RNA", at positions 631 to 1423 of the family's 1533-position model. The record is from RNAcentral.
AACUUUUUAGCUAGAGUAUGAUAGAGGAAAGCAGAAUUUCUAGUGUAGAGGUGAAAUUCGUAGAUAUUAGAAAGAAUACCAAUUGCGAAGGCAGCUUUCUGGAUCAUUACUGACACUGAGGAACGAAAGCAUGGGUAGCGAAGAGGAUUAGAUACCCUCGUAGUCCAUGCCGUAAACGAUGUGUGUUAGACGUUGGAAAUUUAUUUUCUGUGUCGCAGCGAAAGCAAUAAACACACCGCCUGGGGAGUACGACCGCAAGGUUAAAACUCAAAUGAAUUGACGGGGACCCGCACAAGUAGUGGAGCAUGUGGUUUAAUUCGAAGAUACGCGCAGAACCUUACCAACACUUGACAUGUUCGUCGCGACUUUAAGAGAUUAAAGUUUUCGGUUCGGCCGGACGAAACACAGGUGCUGCAUGGCUGUCGUCAGCUCGUGUCGUGAGAUGUUGGGUUAAGUCCCGCAACGAGCGCAACCCUCACUUUUAGUUGCCAUCAUUUAGUUGGGCACUCUGAAAGAACUGCCAGUGAUAAGCUGGAGGAAGGUGGGGAUGACGUCAAGUCCUCAUGGCCCUUACGUGUUGGGCUACACACGUGCUACAAUGGCAUUUACAAUAGGAAGCAAGACGGCGACGUUAAGCAAAUCCUAAAAAAAUGCCUCAGUUCGGAUUGUACUCUGCAACUCGAGUACAUGAAGCUGGAAUUACUAGUAAUCGCGGAUCAGCGCGCCGCGGUGAAUACGUUCCCGGGUCUUGUACACACCGCCCGUCACACCAUGGGAGUUGGUUCUACCUU